CAGAAUGAUCCAACGUGCUUCGGAUCGGUACUUUUCGUUCUCGUCUCCUUCCCUCCAGUACUGCAAUGGCAGCUAGUUUAUAGUGCUCUGUUCUGCAUGGGUGUGGUUGGCAUGCCUUCUAGCAGGGAAAAGAGAGGCCUCGGUACCGAAAGCAAGUUCUUUCUAAUCCUCAGAAACUAAAGCAAAUCGUUUCGGUGAUGUCCUCGCAUCUUUCAUGUUGAUCUUGUGUGAGUAAUGGAAUCUUUCUGUGUUAAUUAUGAGACUUCUUCUUGUGUAGCUUUAUGGUGUACCUGCGAGGUGCAGUUUUCAGGUUAAGAUAAAAGUUGGAAUCGACUCAUUUUCUUUUACUUUUUUUUUUUGGUGAAUGAAUUAAGAUAAAUAUAUAGGAAUAUUAGGUAAUUUUAUUCAGCUUAAUUCACUCCUGGGUUUGAUGAUAACUAUCAUGAGUUUUGGAUGACAGACGACGCAUGAGAAGGCGAUCUCUGCAGUACACCUUGUGCAGCAGCAAUCGCUCUCUCUCUCUCUCUCUCUCCCCGUCAGUAGCUCUUUGGAGUAUAAAGAGGACUUGAGAACCUAGCUUCAUCAGUGAGGGGACAAGAAGCACCAAAGGUAGAUUAGAAAAUGUGUAGAAGGAUUAGUGCACGGGUUUGUCCAAAUAAUUGCUAAACGAAGUGUUCAUGUUGCUGGCAAAACAUAGUCGUCGGAUGAUCUAUAGAUCAUUUUGGAAAAUAGAAAGAUAUUAGAGUAACAUAAGCAAGCUUACUUUCUCGGCUAUUACGUAGUCAAAAUUUGGUGCUUAUGCCUUACUUAGCCGUCGGUCGCAUCCGAGCCCUUCUUACCCAAGACUCACGAAUCACGACGCGCUAAAACCUUCCUUUCCCCAUGACCCACUGUGCGCAUCAUGACAUGCGAAUGACACCCGCAUCAGUACUCAGCCCCACCCACCGCCCACCACGUCACAUUCCCU
RNAcentral lists this long non-coding RNA (967 nucleotides) under Musa acuminata (dwarf banana). RNAcentral's name for it is "long non-coding RNA (MACU_LNC003691)". Lineage: Eukaryota; Viridiplantae; Streptophyta; Magnoliopsida; Zingiberales; Musaceae. The record is from RNAcentral.